GAGGUUUCAAUAUCUGAUAGUAUCUCCGAUUAAUUAUUCGUCCCUGUUCUGAAACUGUGGUUGCAUUUUUUUUUCUUCUGGCAGCAGCCGUGACCACAUGUUUCUACUUUUUCAGGGCGUUUCUGCAGGGCGUGAUGAUCGCUGCCGCCGGUGCUGGCACGCUGCUGGGUGCGGUCGACGCCGCGCCGGCGGCUUCCAAGAGGCGGGCUCCGCCACCGGCGGAGGAGAAGGAGAAGAAAGACCCCAACCUCAGCGGCGUGCAGGCCAAAGUUCUUGCCAGCAGGAAGAGGAAGGAGGCCAUGAAGGAAGCAAUGGCCAAGAUGAGGG
RNAcentral lists this long non-coding RNA (327 nucleotides) under Brachypodium distachyon (stiff brome). RNAcentral describes it as "long non-coding RNA (BDIS_LNC005219)". Lineage: Eukaryota; Viridiplantae; Streptophyta; Magnoliopsida; Poales; Poaceae. The record is from RNAcentral.